GUGGUAUCACCCCCACGGAGAACAGGAGGAAGCUGGGCCCCGGGUCCAGAAACGUGGCCACGUCCCCUGCCUGGGAAGGACUGUCUGGGGAGGGGCCUCUGUGUGCUUCCAGCCUCUUUCCUGCAUCCAGGUUGAGCUGACUGGUCGGGAGGACACAGGGUGUCCUGUCCCAGGAGGAAGUGAAGCAAGCACGUGGUGUUUCUGUAGCACAGCUGUCCUGGGUCCGGGCCAGUGUACCUGCCUUCCCGGAGCCCAGGUCACGUGGCUGUCUGUCGCCACCUGCUGUCCUGUCCCAUGUGGGGAGAGACUGGCAGGGGUCUGUGCCACACUCACGUGCCCACCACCCAGGACCCGAGUCCCUCCCAGCAGGGCCUCUGGUGUGGUUUCUAGUUUCUCUGCAGGCCCUGGCACUGGGUGGUUUUAAGCUGCUGCUCCCAUGUCUCAAAGGUACCUUGCAAUUCACAGAGCCGCCUUCACACCAGCUGCACACAGCCUCCUGUUGGCUUGUUCCUGGGGCUUAAACCUAACUGAGCAGUGUUGUUCUAAGUUGCAGAGAUCAAAGACCUGGACAGCAACCUUUACCCCAUUGGCCAGAGCAACAUCAGCAAGUCAGGCAGAGGGUGUGUGCGGUUUAUUGAAGAGAUGCACAGCUGGUGACUGCAUCUGCAGAGCUGAGAACAACUGGAUCUUGUUCACACUCAGGCAGAGGAAGACUCCUGGGGUGAAGCCACACCUCCUUCUAGCCUGACGCAGACAAGGAGCUGAAAGGAGAUCUCUGAGAUCCUGCUACUGCCAUGAACCCAAAAGACCUCCGGGACUGCUCAGGUCUGUGAAGAAAGCUGAGUGCUGAAGAAUUGAUGCUUUUGAAGUAUGGUGUUGGAGAAGACUCUUGGGAGUCCCUUGGACUGCAAGGAGGUCCAGCCAGUCCAUCCUAAAGGAGAUCAGUCCUGGGUGUUCAUUGGAAGGACUGAUGUUAAAGCUGAAACUCCAAUACUUUGGCCACCUCACGCAAAGAGCGGACUCAUUGGAAAAGACCCUGAUGCUGGGAGGGAUUGGGGGCAGAAGGAGAAGGGGAUGACAGAGAACGAGAUGGCUGGAUGGCAUCACCGAGUCAAUGGACAUGAGUUUGAGUGAACUCCGGGAGUUGGCUUUGGACAGGGAGGCCUGGCAGGCUGUGAUUCAUGGGGUCGCAAAGAGUCAGACAUGACUGAGCAACUGACCUGAAUUCAACUGAACUGAACCAGGUCUGAUACCUCAGGCAGGUCCUGGCUCUACUGACCUCAAACACCUCUGCAGAUAACCAAGUUCUCUGUCAUUUCCCGUACCCACCCACACCCCAAUCAAUAAACAAACAGAUUUAGUGCUCUGGGAUCCCUCCAUAUGAGACCUGGGUUCCUUUCACUCUUACUAAAACAGGAAAAAGAAAAAAAAUUAACAACCCUUCAUGCUGCAGGAUAGACAGAGAGAGUAGUGAG
Molecule: long non-coding RNA, 1475 nt
Organism: Bos taurus (domestic cattle)
Lineage: Eukaryota; Metazoa; Chordata; Mammalia; Artiodactyla; Bovidae
Source: Ensembl